UGAGGAAUAUCGGGCAAUGCCCGCAAGGGUGACCCAGCAACGCCGCGUGGAGGAUGAAUGUCGUAAGAUUGUAAACUCCUGUUAGAGGGGAAGAAUAGUACCGGUUGGACCGGUAUAUGACUGUACCCUCAGAGAAAGCCCCGGCUAACUACGUGCCAGCAGCCGCGGUAAUACGUAGGGGGCAAGCGUUGUCCGGAUUUACUGGGUGUAAAGGGCGCGCAGGCGGGAUAAAAAGUCAGUGGUGAAAUCCUACAGCUUAACUGUAGAACUGCCUUUGAUACUUUUAUUCUUGAGUUCGGGAGAGAGAGACGGAAUUCCAGGUGUAGUGGUGAAAUACGUAGAUAUCUGGAAGAACACCAGUUGCGAAGGCGGUCUCUUGGUCCGACACUGACGCUGAGGCGCGAAAGCGUGGGGAGCAAACA
RNAcentral lists this ribosomal RNA (422 nucleotides) under uncultured bacterium. RNAcentral's name for it is "bacterial SSU rRNA". It matches the Rfam family "Bacterial small subunit ribosomal RNA", at positions 355 to 774 of the family's 1533-position model. The record is from RNAcentral.